AUAAUUAUAAUAACAAUAAUAGUGUAGUAUCUGUUCUUACCAGCCUUAUAUCUGAUACGGUUCGUAUUUGGGGCCAUCAAUAUUAAACUGAUUUUUUUGAAUAAGGUGAAGAGUUAGAGGCUUCCUCUACCUUUGCCAUGGGUUGACCUGGUAUUGCAGUACUUCCAGGAUUCAGCCCAUCUCCC
Molecule: small nuclear RNA, 185 nt
Organism: Octopus sinensis (East Asian common octopus)
Lineage: Eukaryota; Metazoa; Mollusca; Cephalopoda; Octopoda; Octopodidae
Product: U2 spliceosomal RNA
Exons: 1
Source: RefSeq, a predicted model, not a curated record